Molecule: long non-coding RNA, 915 nt
Filed under: Setaria viridis
Lineage: Eukaryota; Viridiplantae; Streptophyta; Magnoliopsida; Poales; Poaceae
Description: long non-coding RNA (SVIR_LNC010020)
Source: RNAcentral
GAAAGAAUUGCUCCACCACUUCUAGACAUGUAAGGCUCUUUGGCUGAGGGGUUUUGUUUGCCAAAAAGCAACUAUGUUAGAUCCUUACUUUCAAUAUUUUAGCUCAGAUUCUAAGUUCAUUAACCAGUCUACAUUGGCAACUUACACUAAGCAAGCAUAGAUCCAACAUUGUGUAUAUAAGCUCAACAUCAAGAUCAUGUCAUAAUCAGACUCCUUCUUUACUCAGUGUAGCAUAGCGAUCAAGCAGUCUCAAACUGUGAGAGGCAGACGAAUCGAUUCGAGUUCUUUAACCAUGCAUGACGAACCUAACCUCACGACAUCCACGCACCACCGAGAGUCGCUUCCUGUGUCGGCCUUCCCAAUCAAUUCCCUAACCCGUGUCGGGCCCACUUCCCUUGGUGCAAGGUUCCACAGACCCGGCCUCUCCCGUUCCGUGACCACACUUGCCACCACAUGCGGCCGCAGGGGAACUUCGUUCCAGAGACAGUGGAUCAACCGCUCAUGUCCAGGUUCAAUCAGGUACUAGGCUUCCCCAUCCCAUAAUGGGUAUGAGAUUAGUACUUUCAAACACUUGAUCAUGAACACCACCACUGUCGGGCCUUACCAGAUUCAAUAAACAGACGGGACGAUCAGCCGACCACCAAAAGAGUUAACCAAACCCUGCCCUGUCCAUCGUCCUUGUAGUUGUAACCAAAAAGAGAACAACUAACUCCUAUAACUCGCGAGUGACAGGAAAAUCACUCGACUUUUACCGAGUCCUAUUAAGCAAUGCAACUACUCGACCCAAUAGACUAGUGUUCAGAUCAAAGGAACUAAGUCAUGCAUCUAUGGUUGCAAGCAACUCCUAUACGUAAAUGCACAUUCAUAAGAAGGAAGGCAUGUGCAAGUUUAGAAAGUUGGGUUUAUGCUCCGGGG